Molecule: ribosomal RNA, 250 nt
Filed under: uncultured bacterium
Lineage: Bacteria
Description: partial 16S ribosomal RNA
Rfam family: Bacterial small subunit ribosomal RNA
Source: RNAcentral
GCAAGUCGAACGGAAACGAUGAGAGCUUGCCCUCAGGCGGCGAGUGGCGGACGGGUGAGUAAUACAUAGGAAUCUGCCCAGUAGCGGGGGACAACUUGGGGAAACUCAAGCUAAUACCGCAUACGCCCUACGGGGGAAAGCAGGGGAUCUUCGGACCUUGCACUAUUGGAUGAGCCUAUGUCAGAUUAGCUUGUUGGUGGGGUAACGGCCUACCAAGGCGACGAUCUGUAGCUGGUCUGAGAGGACGAUC